GAGUUAGGGUCUCUGGCCCGACCUCCAACCCUCUAUUUAUACUACCGUGUUGCUUUGGCGGGCCGGCCCUUUACCGGGGCCGUCGGGGGCCCUUUCGCCCCUGACCCGCGCCCGUCAGUAGCCUUUUCAAACUCUCUGUUUAACCGUGGUGUGACUGAGCAAACAUGAAAUGAAAAGCAAAACUUUCAACAACGGAUCUCUUGGUUCU
Molecule: unclassified non-coding RNA, 208 nt
Filed under: rhizosphere metagenome
Description: partial ribosomal RNA internal transcribed spacer region
Source: RNAcentral